This 655-nucleotide ribosomal RNA is filed under the name bacterium SCSIO13024. Its description in RNAcentral is "bacterial SSU rRNA". It matches the Rfam family "Bacterial small subunit ribosomal RNA", at positions 57 to 700 of the family's 1533-position model. The record is from RNAcentral.
GCAGUCGAGCGGUAACAGGAAGAAAGCUUGCUUUCUUUGCUGACGAGCGGCGGACGGGUGAGUAAUGCCUAGGGAACUGCCCAGUCGAGGGGGAUAACAGUUGGAAACGACUGCUAAUACCGCAUACGCCCUACGGGGGAAAGGAGGGGACCUUCGGGCCUUUCGCGAUUGGAUGUACCUAGGUGGGAUUAGCUUGUUGGUGAGGUAAGAGCUCACCAAGGCGACGAUCCCUAGCUGUUCUGAGAGGAUGAUCAGCCACACUGGGACUGAGACACGGCCCAGACUCCUACGGGAGGCAGCAGUGGGGAAUAUUGCACAAUGGGCGAAAGCCUGAUGCAGCCAUGCCGCGUGUGUGAAGAAGGCCUUCGGGUUGUAAAGCACUUUCAGCGAGGAGGAAAGGUUAACGGUUAAUACCCGUUAGCUGUGACGUUACUCGCAGAAGAAGCACCGGCUAACUUCGUGCCAGCAGCCGCGGUAAUACGAGGGGUGCAAGCGUUAAUCGGAAUUACUGGGCGUAAAGCGUACGCAGGCGGUUUGUUAAGCGAGAUGUGAAAGCCCCGGGCUCAACCUGGGAACUGCAUUUCGAACUGGCAAACUAGAGUCUUGUAGAGGGGGGUAGAAUUUCAGGUGUAGCGGUGAAAUGCGUAGAGAUCUG